Hemicordylus capensis (graceful crag lizard) is the source of this 720-nucleotide long non-coding RNA. RefSeq lists it as uncharacterized. The record is from RefSeq and is a predicted model, not a curated record. The transcript has 3 exons. Lineage: Eukaryota; Metazoa; Chordata; Lepidosauria; Squamata; Cordylidae.
CUUCCUGGCUUGCUGGGGCCUGCCGAGUUCAGGCUUCAGGGAGGCCCAUAGGGAGUCCUCUCUGGAAGUCCUGCCCACCCGCCAAUCAGCUGAGAGGCGGGGAGAGAAGAGCUCUGCAGUUUGUAGGCUGCUCCGAUCCUAGGCCUCGUUGCCGAUCCUAGGCCGGAGCUGGAGGCAAGUGGCUGAGGAGCCCUGGGGCUGGGCAGGUGGGCAGUGGGGUUGGGGUGGGGGUGGCAUGGCGCCCCCACCUCAGUGGCACGUAGGGCACGUGCCCUGCCUGCCUCCCCCCCCAGUUCCGCCUAUGCCCCUGGGCCUUUGCAUUGAGCACCCACCUCUUCAAUAAAGGUAAAAGGAUGAAAUGGUUGAGCCUGGUGGCUGUUUGUGCCAAGCAAAGUCCCAUGAAGUUUGACUCCUUUGAGAUUUGGUUGAAGAGGACUCCAUCAGUCUCAAGCACAAGAAACCUGUUACAUAGAUUGAUCUGAGGAGGAGCUGAAGAGCAGGUUUAGGUAAGGAAGGCAAGACAUCCAUCCCAUCCACCUGCCUCAUCCUGUCAGCAGAACUCGAAGUGGAUGAAGUUGUGGGGAUUUGAGGAGAACAAGGACCUCUAUAUCAAGAGGCCUUGGAGGUGGGAUCCCAGAGAGCAAAAACUCUAUUUAAAAGCACUUUUGGAAAACUCUGCUACAUCAUCUGCCUAGCAAAUGUAGAGUUUGUCAGUCAACA